This 484-nucleotide ribosomal RNA is filed under the name uncultured bacterium. Its description in RNAcentral is "partial 16S ribosomal RNA". It matches the Rfam family "Bacterial small subunit ribosomal RNA", at positions 30 to 507 of the family's 1533-position model. The record is from RNAcentral.
AUUGAACGCUGGCGGCAGGCCUAACACAUGCAAGUCGAGCGGAUGAAGGGAGCUUGCUCCUGGAUUCAGCGGCGGACGGGUGAGUAAUGCCUAGGAAUCUGCCUGGUAGUGGGGGAUAACGUCCGGAAACGGGCGCUAAUACCGCAUACGUCCUGAGGGAGAAAGUGGGGGCUCUUCGGACCUCACGCUCUCAGAUGAGCCUAGGUCGGAUUAGCUAGUUGGUGGGGUAAAGGCCUACCAAGGCGACGAUCCGUAACUGGUCUGAGAGGAUGAUCAGUCACACUGGAACUGAGACACGGUCCAGACUCCUACGGGAGGCAGCAGUGGGGAAUAUUGGACAAAGGGCGAAAGCCUGAUCCAGCCAUGCCGCGUGUGUGAAGAAGGUCUUCGGAUUGUAAAGCACUUUAAGUUGGGAGGAAGGGCAGUAAGUUAAUACCUUGCUGUUUUGACGUUACCAACAGAAUAAGCACCGGCUAACUUCGUG